GAUGAACGCUCGCUACAGGCUUAACACAUGCAAGUCGAGGGGCAGCAUGAUUGAAGCUUGCUUCAAUCGAUGGCGACCGGCGCACGGGUGAGUAACACGUAUCCAACCUGCCGAUAACUCGGGGAUAGCCUUUCGAAAGAAAGAUUAAUACCCGAUAGUAUAGUAUUUCCGCAUGGUUUCACUAUUAAAGAACUUCGGUUAUCGAUGGGGAUGCGUUCCAUUAGAUAGUUGGCGGGGUAACGGCCCACCAAGUCAACGAUGGAUAGGGGUUCUGAGAGGAAGGUCCCCCACAUUGGAACUGAGACACGGUCCAAACUCCUACGGGAGGCAGCAGUGAUGAAUAUUGGUCAAUGGACGAGAGUCUGAACCAGCCAAGUAGCGUGAAGGAUGACUGCCCUAUGGGUUGUAAACUUCUUUUAUACGGGAAUAAAGUGGAGUAUGCAUACUCCUUUGUAUGUACCGUAUGAAUAAGGAUCGGCUAACUCCGUG
This 489-nucleotide ribosomal RNA is filed under the name uncultured bacterium. RNAcentral's name for it is "partial 16S ribosomal RNA". It matches the Rfam family "Bacterial small subunit ribosomal RNA", at positions 28 to 507 of the family's 1533-position model. The record is from RNAcentral.